UAAGUUAGAAAGGGCGCACGGUGGAUGCCUUGACACUAGGAGUCGAUGAAGGACGGGACUAACGCCGAUAUGCUUCGGGGAGCUGUAAGUAAGCUUUGAUCCGAAGAUUUCCGAAUGGGGAAACCCACCAUACGUAAUGGUAUGGUAUCCUUAUCUGAAUACAUAGGGUAAGGAAGACAGACCCAGGGAACUGAAACAUCUAAGUACCUGGAGGAAGAGAAAGCAAAUGCGAUUUCCUGAGUAGCGGCGAGCGAAACGGAACAUAGCCCAAACCAAGAGGCUUGCCUCUUGGGGUUGUAGGACAUUCUAUACGGAGUUACAAAGGAAUGAGGUAGACGAAGCGACCUGGAAAGGUCCGUCGUAGAGGGUAACAACCCCGUAGUCGAAACUUCGUUCUCUCUUGAAUGUAUCCUGAGUACGGCGGAACACGUGAAAUUCCGUCGGAAUCUGGGAGGACCAUCUCCCAAGGCUAAAUACUCCCUAGUGAUCGAUAGUGAACCAGUACCGUGAGGGAAAGGUGAAAAGCACCCCGGAAGGGGAGUGAAAGAGAUCCUGAAACCGUGUGCCUACAAAUAGUCAGAGCCCGUUAAUGGGUGAUGGUGUGCCUUUUGUAGAAUGAACCGGCGAGUUACGAUCCCGUGCGAGGUUAAGCUGAAGAGGCGGAGCCGCAGCGAAAGCGAGUCUGAAUAGGGCGUUUAGUACGUGGUCGUAGACCCGAAACCAGGUGAUCUACCCAUGUCCAGGGUGAAGUUCAGGUAACACUGAAUGGAGGCCCGAACCCACGCACGUUGAAAAGUGCGGGGAUGAGGUGUGGGUAGCGGAGAAAUUCCAAUCGAACCUGGAGAUAGCUGGUUCUCCCCGAAAUAGCUUUAGGGCUAGCCUUAAGUGUAAGAGUCUUGGAGGUAGAGCACUGAUUGGACUAGGGGUCCUCAUCGGAUUACCGAAUUCAGUCAAACUCCGAAUGCCAAUGACUUAUCCUUAGGAGUCAGACUGCGAGUGAUAAGAUCCGUAGUCAAAAGGGAAACAGCCCAGACCGCCAGCUAAGGUCCCAAAGUGUGUAUUAAGUGGAAAAGGAUGUGGAGUUGCUUAGACAACUAGGAUGUUGGCUUAGAAGCAGCCACCAUUUAAAGAGUGCGUAAUAGCUCACUAGUCGAGUGACUCUGCGCCGAAAAUGUACCGGGGCUAAAUACAUCACCGAAGCUGCGGAUUGAUACCAAUGGUAUCAGUGGUAGGGGAGCGUUCUAAGGACAGUGAAGUCAGACCGGAAGGACUGGUGGAGUGCUUAGAAGUGAGAAUGCCGGUAUGAGUAGCGAAAGACGGGUGAGAAUCCCGUCCACCGAAUGCCUAAGGUUUCCUGAGGAAGGCUCGUCCGCUCAGGGUUAGUCAGGACCUAAGCCGAGGCCGACAGGCGUAGGCGAUGGACAACAGGUUGAUAUUCCUGUACCACCUCUUUAUCGUUUGAGCAAUGGAGGGCCGCAGAAGGAUAGAAGAAGCGUGCGAUUGGUUGUGCACGUCCAAGCAGUUAGGCUGAUAAGUAGGCAAAUCCGCUUAUCGUGAAGGCUGAGCUGUGAUGGGGAAGCUCCUUAUGGAGCGAAGUCUUUGAUUCCCCGCUGCCAAGAAAAGCUUCUAGCGAGAUAAAAGGUGCCUGUACCGCAAACCGACACAGGUAGGCGAGGAGAGAAUCCUAAGGUGUGCGAGAGAACUCUGGUUAAGGAACUCGGCAAAAUGACCCCGUAACUUCGGGAGAAGGGGUGCUUUCUUAACGGAAAGCCGCAGUGAAUAGGCCCAAGCGACUGUUUAGCAAAAACACAGCUCUCUGCGAAGCCGUAAGGCGAAGUAUAGGGGGUGACACCUGCCCGGUGCUGGAAGGUUAAGGAGAGGGUUAGCGUAAGCGAAGCUCUGAACUGAAGCCCCAGUAAACGGCGGCCGUAACUAUAACGGUCCUAAGGUAGCGAAAUUCCUUGUCGGGUAAGUUCCGACCCGCACGAAGGUGUAACGAUUUGGGCACUGUCUCAACCAGAGACUCGGUGAAAUUAUAGUACCUGUGAAGAUGCAGGUUACCCGCGACAGGACGGAAGACCCCGUGGAGCUUUACUGUAGCCUGAUAUU
Molecule: ribosomal RNA, 2109 nt
Filed under: Bacillus anthracis (anthrax bacterium)
Lineage: Bacteria; Bacillati; Bacillota; Bacilli; Caryophanales; Bacillaceae
Description: bacterial LSU rRNA
Rfam family: Bacterial large subunit ribosomal RNA
Source: RNAcentral